UACGGAGGGUGCAAGCGUUAUCCGGAUUCACUGGGUUUAAAGGGUGCGUAGGCGGGCAGGUAAGUCAGUGGUGAAAUCUUUGGGCUUAACCCGAAAACUGCCAUUGAUACUAUCUGUCUUGAAUAUUGUGGAGGUGAGCGGAAUAUGUCAUGUAGCGGUGAAAUGCUUAGAGAUGACAUAGAACACCAAUUGCGAAGGCAGCCCACUACACAAAUAUUGACGCUGAUGCACGAAAGCGUGGGGAUCAAACAG
This 252-nucleotide ribosomal RNA is filed under the name uncultured bacterium. RNAcentral's name for it is "partial 16S ribosomal RNA". It matches the Rfam family "Bacterial small subunit ribosomal RNA", at positions 524 to 775 of the family's 1533-position model. The record is from RNAcentral.